AUUGAACGCUGGCGGCAUGCCUUACACAUGCAAGUCGAACGGUAACGCGGGGCAACCUGGCGACGAGUGGCGAACGGGUGAGUAAUAUAUCGGAACGUGCCCAGUAGUGGGGGAUAGCCCGGCGAAAGCCGGAUUAAUACCGCAUACGACCUAAGGGUGAAAGCGGGGGAUCACAAGACCUCGCGCUAUUGGAGCGGCCGAUAUCAGAUUAGGUAGUUGGUGGGGUAAAGGCCUACCAAGCCUACGAUCUGUAGCUGGUCUGAGAGGACGACCAGCCACACUGGGACUGAGACACGGCCCAGACUCCUACGGGAGGCUGCCUGAGACUACCAAGGCACACAGGGGAUAGG
Molecule: ribosomal RNA, 350 nt
Filed under: uncultured Pseudomonadota bacterium
Lineage: Bacteria; Pseudomonadati; Pseudomonadota
Description: bacterial SSU rRNA
Rfam family: Bacterial small subunit ribosomal RNA
Source: RNAcentral